GAUAAUAUAUUUGAGAGGCAUCUCUUGAAUAUCAAAGGUGAGCCAGUACAGGAUGGACCCGCGUCUGAUUAGCUAGUUGGUAAGGUAACGGCUUACCAAGGCGACGAUCAGUAGCCGACCUGAGAGGGUGAUCGGCCACAUUGGAACUGAGACACGGUCCAAACUCCUACGGGAGGCAGCAGUGGGGAAUAUUGCACAAUGGGCGAAAGCCUGAUGCAGCAACGCCGCGUGAGUGAUGAAGGCCUUCGGGUCGUAAAACUCUGUCCUCAAGGAAGAUAAUGACGGUACUUGAGGAGGAAGCCCCGGCUAACUACGUGCCAGCAGCCGCGGUAAUACGUAGGGGGCUAGCGUUAUCCGGAUUUACUGGGCGUAAAGGGUGCGUAGGCGGUCUUUCAAGUCAGGAGUGAAAGGCUACGGCUCAACCGUAGUAAGCUCUUGAAACUGGGAGACUUGAGUGCAGGAGAGGAGAGUGGAAUUCCUAGUGUAGCGGUGAAAUGCGUAGAUAUUAGGAGGAACACCAGUUGCGAAGGCGGCUCUCUGGACUGUAACUGACGCUGAGGCACGAAAGCGUGGGGAGCAAACAGGAUUAGAUACCCUGGUAGUCCACGCUGUAAACGAUGAGUAC
Molecule: ribosomal RNA, 625 nt
Filed under: Clostridioides difficile
Lineage: Bacteria; Bacillati; Bacillota; Clostridia; Peptostreptococcales; Peptostreptococcaceae
Description: bacterial SSU rRNA
Rfam family: Bacterial small subunit ribosomal RNA
Source: RNAcentral